GUGGGGAAUAUUGGACAAUGGGCGAAAGCCUGAUCCAGCCAUGCCGCGUGUGUGAAGAAGGUCUUCGGAUUGUAAAGCACUUUAAGUUGGGAGGAAGGGCAGUAAGUUAAUACCUUGCUGUUUUGACGUUACCGACAGAAUAAGCACCGACUAACUUCGUGCCAGCAGCCGCGGUAAUACGAAGGGUGCAAGCGUUAAUCGGAAUUACUGGGCGUAAAGCGCGCGUAGGUGGUUUUGUAAGUUGGAGGUGAAAUCCCCGGGCUCAACCUGGGAACUGCCUCCAAAACUGCAUGACUAGAGUACGGUAGAGGGUAGUGGAAUUUCCUGUGUAGCGGUGAAAUGCGUAGAUAUAGGAAGGAACACCAGUGGCGAAGGCGACUACCUGGACUGAUACUGACACUGAGGUGCGAAAGCGUGGGGAGCAAACAGGAUUAGAUACCCUAGUAGUCC
RNAcentral lists this ribosomal RNA (450 nucleotides) under uncultured bacterium. RNAcentral describes it as "partial 16S ribosomal RNA". It matches the Rfam family "Bacterial small subunit ribosomal RNA", at positions 354 to 796 of the family's 1533-position model. The record is from RNAcentral.